RNAcentral lists this ribosomal RNA (673 nucleotides) under uncultured organism. RNAcentral's name for it is "bacterial SSU rRNA". It matches the Rfam family "Bacterial small subunit ribosomal RNA", at positions 61 to 749 of the family's 1533-position model. The record is from RNAcentral.
GUCGAACGUGAAUGCUAGUACCUAGUAUUGGGUGGAAAGUGGCGAACGGGUGAGUAACACGUUGGUGACCUGUCCCGAGGAGGGGGAUGACCGUGGGAAACCAUGGCUAAUACCCCGGAUGUCUAGGUUGUUAGAGAGCCUAGGCCAAAGCUCCGGCGCCUUGGGAGGGGCCUGCGGGCUAUCAGCUUGUUGGUGGGGUAACGGCCUACCAAGGCUAAGACGGCUAGGGGGCGUGAGAGCGCGACCCCCCACAAUGGAACUGAGACACGGUCCAUACUCCUACGGGAGGCAGCAGUGAGGAAUAUUGCGCAAUGGGGGCAACCCUGACGCAGCAACGCCGCGUGGACGAUGAAGGCCUUCGGGUUGUAAAGUCCUUUUUUGGGGGAUGAUAAUGACGGUACCCCAAGAAUAAGUCCCGGCUAACUACGUGCCAGCAGCCGCGGUAAAACGUAGGGGGCGAGCGUUAUCCGGAUUUACUGGGCGUAAAGCGCACGUAGGCGGCGCUGUAAGUUGGACGUGAAAGCUCUCGGUUUAACUGGGAGAGGUCGUUCAAUACUGCGGUGCUCGAGGUUGGAAGAGGAGAGUGGAAUUCCCGGUGUAGUGGUGGAAUGCGUAGAUAUCGGGAGGAACACCAGUGGCGAAGGCGACUUCUCUGGUCCACACCUGACGCUGA